AAAUUGAAGAGUUUGAUCAUGGCUCAGAUUGAACGCUGGCGGCAGGCCUAACACAUGCAAGUCGAACGGUAGCACAGAGAGCUUGCUCUUGGGUGACGAGUGGCGGACGGGUGAGUAAUGUCUGGGAAACUGCCCGAUGGAGGGGGAUAACUACUGGAAACGGUAGCUAAUACCGCAUAACGUCGCAAGACCAAAGAGGGGGACCUUCGGGCCUCUUGCCAUCGGAUGUGCCCAGAUGGGAUUAGCUAGUAGGUGGGGUAACGGCUCACCUAGGCGACGAUCCCUAGCUGGUCUGAGAGGAUGACCAGCCACACUGGAACUGAGACACGGUCCAGACUCCUACGGGAGGCAGCAGUGGGGAAUAUUGCACAAUGGGCGCAAGCCUGAUGCAGCCAUGCCGCGUGUAUGAAGAAGGCCUUCGGGUUGUAAAGUACUUUCAGCGAGGAGGAAGGCAUUAAGGUUAAUAACCUUAG
Molecule: ribosomal RNA, 473 nt
Filed under: Citrobacter freundii
Lineage: Bacteria; Pseudomonadati; Pseudomonadota; Gammaproteobacteria; Enterobacterales; Enterobacteriaceae
Description: bacterial SSU rRNA
Rfam family: Bacterial small subunit ribosomal RNA
Source: RNAcentral